This 253-nucleotide ribosomal RNA is filed under the name uncultured bacterium. RNAcentral describes it as "partial 16S ribosomal RNA". It matches the Rfam family "Bacterial small subunit ribosomal RNA", at positions 524 to 776 of the family's 1533-position model. The record is from RNAcentral.
UACGUAGGGGGCAAGCGUUGUCCGGAUUUAUUGGGCGUAAAGAGCGUGUAGGCGGCCAUGUAGGUCCGUUGUGAAAACUCGAGGCUCAACCUCGAGACGCCGAUGGAAACCAUGUGGCUAGAGUCCGGAAGAGGAGAGUGGAAUUCCUGGUGUAGCGGUGAAAUGCGCAGAUAUCAGGAGGAACACCGGUGGCGAAGGCGGGUCUCUGGGCAACAACUGACGCUGAGGAGCGAAAGCGUGGGGAGCGAACAGG